GUUUCUCUCCUCCAAAAAUCCCUUUUCAUCCCCUAAUAACCCUCUAUCUCCUCACACAUUUGAUCUUCCAAGUCUCCUUGCUUGUUCUGGUGGUGAGAAUGGCUCCAAAAAUGAAACUCCCUCAAAGAAGGAAAUCGGUCCGUGAGUUGGAAGAGGGCGUGCGCAAGAAAAGACAAGCUUCUCAGACCUCUUCUGCUUCCAUUCCGGCUUCGGCAUCUGCUCCAGGUUCCUCUCAGUC
RNAcentral lists this long non-coding RNA (238 nucleotides) under Elaeis guineensis (African oil palm). Its description in RNAcentral is "long non-coding RNA (EGUI_LNC054356)". The record is from RNAcentral. Lineage: Eukaryota; Viridiplantae; Streptophyta; Magnoliopsida; Arecales; Arecaceae.